Molecule: long non-coding RNA, 378 nt
Filed under: Mytilus galloprovincialis (Mediterranean mussel)
Lineage: Eukaryota; Metazoa; Mollusca; Bivalvia; Mytilida; Mytilidae
Source: RNAcentral
GUGGGAUUACUGUCUCAUUGAUAUUUAUACAGUCGUCCAUUGUUACUUGUAGGGUUACUGACAUGUUGAUAUAUAGACAUAUACUUUUCAAUUGUAAUAGAGCGUAUACUACUGGUUUCAUUGGUAUAAGUAGUACACAUGCAUGUGUAUUUAAAAAAAUGUAUGUUGGCCUUCUGUUGUUUAUUGUUGGCAUAUGUAUAUCAUUGUCUAUUUUACGAAAGCGAGUGUAUGCAUUGUUUCUUUUUUUUUUCAUUUUUCGUAGAGUUGCUGUCUGGUUGAUAAUACGUCCCUACGUCUCCUUUUACCUGUGACGAAAGAAAAUGAAAACACUUCCAUUUCUUUUAAAUGUUGACAAAAAAUGAAAAGGAUAUCUGAGCG